GAAGCUGCGAAGAUGGCGGAGUAAGGCGUGCCGCUGCAAACUGGCCUCUGGGCCGGGGGCGAGCAGCCCCCGGGAGGCCGAGUGCAUCUGUUGGACCGUGCGAGGAGAAGAAAAAAAAUAUCGGCCAGAGGAGAGGAACUAACCGAACAUUCUUCCUCCCUACCUUAUAGAGGGGAGUGGUCAUCUACACUAAAGCAAAGUGUUAGGCGCGUCCGUGCGAAGAGACCACCAAACAGGCUUUGUGUUCCUUAUCACAGGAAGAAAAUUUUCCUUGACCUUUAGGUGCUUUUAUAUUCAUCUCAAAAACAAAAUUCUGAACUCAGGACUUGGCAAACCACCGCUGAAACUUCACUUCUACACAGAGGCUUUCUUUCCCAGAAACCCAGACCAGAUGGAGUUUCACUCUGUCGCCCAGGCUGGAGUGCAGUGGCACGAUCUCGGCUGACUGCAGCCUCUACCUGCUGGGUUCAAGCAAUUCUUCUGCCUCAGGUUCCUGAGUAGCUGGGAUUACAGAGAUGGGGUUUCACUGUGUUAGCCAGGAUGGUCUCCAUCUCCUGACCUCAUGUUCUGCUCGCCUUGGCCUACCAAAGUGCUGGGAUUACAGGCGUGAGCCACCACGCCCGGCCAGGAAUUCUUAAUAACUGUUUCAUCACUCUUAUGUCUGAGACAGUUGAGCAAUUACAAGGUAUUUGCAAAGAAGACACCUCUAUGGCAAGAUGAUGAUAUCCAUUCCCAGCACAAAGGAGAAUGCAGGAGUGCAGCAGUUGAGCAGCUUUUCCUUUCUUCCUGAACUAUACCUUACAGUGUGGUUUUAGUAUUUUGUUUUUCAUUACAAAUUCAAUAGGGAAGGUCAAAUCAAGUAAAAAGGAUUAUUGAGCAUCAUGCCAUUUCAUCAUCCCCAAGUUCAUUGGUAGAAGUUAUCAAGAGUUGUCUGUAUUUUAAAAAAGCAUACAACCAUCAUGAAAUUUUACCUCUGCAAUCUUUUCUGAUAGAGGAACAUUUUGAAUAUCCAUCUCUGAUGCAUUUACUAUGGCUUUUGUUUUUAAGAGAUAGCUAGAUAGGAAAAAAGAAAAAUAUUAGUGUCAUACCAUGGUUAAGAUUAUAAAAGAACCAAACUUACCUUCUAAAGAAA
Molecule: long non-coding RNA, 1132 nt
Filed under: Homo sapiens (human)
Lineage: Eukaryota; Metazoa; Chordata; Mammalia; Primates; Hominidae
Description: OIP5 antisense RNA 1
Source: RNAcentral